RNAcentral lists this ribosomal RNA (842 nucleotides) under uncultured bacterium. RNAcentral describes it as "bacterial SSU rRNA". It matches the Rfam family "Bacterial small subunit ribosomal RNA", at positions 9 to 873 of the family's 1533-position model. The record is from RNAcentral.
AGAGUUUGAUCAUGGCUCAGAAUGAACGUUGGCGGCGUGGAUUAGGCAUGCAAGUCGCGCGACAAGGUUUCUAUAGCAAUAUAGCGACUGGAGGAGCGGCGAAAGGGUGAGGAACACGUGGAUACCUACCCUCAGGCUCGGGAUAGCGGCUGGAAACGGCCGGUAAUACCGAAUAACAUCUCCGGAUCAAAGCUCCGGCACCUGAGGACGGGUCCGCGUCCCAUUAGCUAGUUGGCGGGGUAAUAGCCCACCAAGGCAAAGAUGGGUAGUGGGCGUGAGAGCGCGACCCACCACACUGGGACUGAGACACUGCCCAGACACCUACGGGUGGCUGCAGUCGAGGAUCUUCGGCAAUGGGCGAAAGCCUGACCGAGCGACGCCGCGUGGAGGAUGAAGGCCUUCGGGUUGUAAACUCCUGUCGGAGGGGAAGAAAUUUUGACUAACCCCUCGGAGGAAGCCCGGGCUAAGUUCGUGCCAGCAGCCGCGGUAACACGAACCGGGCAAACGUUAUUCGGAAUUACUGGGCUUAAAGGGUGCGUAGGCUGCGCUAUAAGUCGGGUGUGAAAUCCCUCAGCUCAACUGAGGAACUGCGCCCGAUACUGUAGUGCUUGAGGAGGAUAGAGGUGAGCGGAACUAGCAGUGGAGCGGUGAAAUGCGUUGAUAUUGCUGGGAACACCCGUGGCGAAAGCGGCUCACUGGGUCCUUUCUGACGCUGAGGCACGAAAGCUAGGGGAGCGAACGGGAUUAGAUACCCCGGUAGUCCUAGCCGUAAACGAUGAGCACUAGAUCGGGGAGACCUCCACAUCUUCUCGAUCGUAGCGAAAGUGUUAAGUGCUCCGCCU